This 427-nucleotide small RNA is filed under the name Culex tritaeniorhynchus. Its description in RNAcentral is "eukaryotic LSU rRNA". The stretch from base 2 to 122 matches the Rfam family "5.8S ribosomal RNA", at positions 32 to 154 of the family's 154-position model. Lineage: Eukaryota; Metazoa; Arthropoda; Insecta; Diptera; Culicidae. The record is from RNAcentral.
GAUCGAUGAAGACCGCAGCUAAAUGCGCGUCAGAAUGUGAACUGCAGGACACAUGAACACCGACAAGUUGAACGCAUAUUGCACAUCGUACAACAGUACGAUGUACACAUUUUUGAGUGCCUAUAUUUAUCUAUUCAACUGUGUGUGCUCUCCCGCUCGCGGGGGCACGCACGCAGCAUGGUGUUUUACUGCCUUCGGUGGCUGGUAAAACAUUUAAGAUACUCCCGGUUCGGGUGCGACGACCAUCACUGGCGCGCGACACGACGUGAGAAUACAUCCCACACACCAACCUGGCUUGGGCGCCGAUGUAAACUCUCUCAGUCAUCCGAUGUCGCGGUGCCGCGUCCGCCCACCACAUGAACCGUAUCUGAUAAAUCCAUGUAGGCCUCAAAUAAUGUGUCACUACCCCCUAAAUUUAAGCAUAUUA